RNAcentral lists this ribosomal RNA (253 nucleotides) under uncultured prokaryote. RNAcentral's name for it is "partial 16S ribosomal RNA". It matches the Rfam family "Bacterial small subunit ribosomal RNA", at positions 524 to 776 of the family's 1533-position model. The record is from RNAcentral.
UACGUAGGGCGCGAGCGUUGUCCGGAAUUAUUGGGCGUAAAGAGCUCGUAGGCGGCCUGUCGCGUCCGCUGUGAAAUCCCGGGGCUCAACCCCGGGCCUGCAGUGGAUACGGGCUGGCUGGAGGCAGGCAGGGGAGAACGGAAUUCCUGGUGUAGCGGUGAAAUGCGCAGAUAUCAGGAAGAACACCCGUGGCGAAGGCGGCUCUCUGGGACGGUACUGACGCUGAGACGCGAAAGCGUGGGGAGCGAACAGG